Molecule: small RNA, 658 nt
Filed under: Pongo abelii (Sumatran orangutan)
Lineage: Eukaryota; Metazoa; Chordata; Mammalia; Primates; Hominidae
Description: processed transcript
Source: RNAcentral
AACCCGUGUGGCAGCCACCCACAGCAGAUCCACAACGUGAGAGGCCCGCUGAAACAAGGAUGCUGGCAUUGGUUACUCAGCCUGGCCCUCCCUGCCUCGCUGGGUGAUCUGCCUGGUCCUGGCCUCUCUUUCUGAAGACUGAAGUCCCACAUCAAGGUGUCAGCAGGGCCAGGCUGUCUCUGGAGGCUCUGGGGGAGGAUCCUUCCUUUCUGUUCCCAGCAUCUGAUGGCCCCCGACAUUCCUCGGCCUGGUGACAGCAUCUCUCCAGUCCCUGCCUCCGCCUUCAAACGGCCUCCUAUGGCUCGUUCGGAACACCACCUGGAUACGGCUGUGCUGCAGACCGGGCAGAGGACCAGCGCCGGCACCAAGACGGGCUGCCCUACAUUGAUGACUCGCCCUCCUCAUCGCCCCACCUCAGCAGCAAGGGCAGGGGCAGCCGGGAUACGCUGGUCUCGGGAGCCCUGGAGUCCACUAAGGCGAGUGAGCUGGACUUGGAAAAGGGCUUGGAGAUGAGAAAAUGGGUCCUGUCUGGAAUACUGGCUAGCGAGGAGACUUACCUGAGCCACCUGGAGGCACUGCUGCUGCCCAUGAAGCCUUUGAAAGCCGCUGCCACCACCUCUCAGCCGGUGCUGACGAGUCAGCAGAUCGAGACCAUCUU